This 484-nucleotide ribosomal RNA is filed under the name uncultured bacterium. Its description in RNAcentral is "partial 16S ribosomal RNA". It matches the Rfam family "Bacterial small subunit ribosomal RNA", at positions 30 to 507 of the family's 1533-position model. The record is from RNAcentral.
AUUGAACGCUGGCGGCAGGCCUAACACAUGCAAGUCGAGCGGAUGAAGGGAGCUUGCUCCUGGAUUCAGCGGCGGACGGGUGAGUAAUGCCUAGGAAUCUGCCUGGUAGUGGGGGAUAACGUCCGGAAACGGGCGCUAAUACCGCAUACGUCCUGAGGGAGAAAGUGGGGGAUCUUCGGACCUCACGCUAUCAGAUGAGCCUAGGUCGGAUUAGCUAGUUGGUGGGGUAAAGGCCUACCAAGGCGACGAUCCGUAACUGGUCUGAGAGGAUGAUCAGUCACACUGGAACUGAGACACAGUCCAGACUCCUACGGGAGGCAGCAGUGGGGAAUAUUGGACAAUGGGCGAAAGCCUGAUCCAGCCAUGCCGCGUGCGUGAAGAAGGUCUUCGGAUUGUAAAGCACUUUAAGUUGGGAGGAAGGGCAGUAAGUUAAUACCUUGCUGUUUUGACGUUACCAACAGAAUAAGCACCGGCUAACUUCGUG